AUGCUAGCUAAUCCGCAGCACAAGCACGUGCGAUAUCUGUACUAUACUCAACUAGACAUCAGCACAAGUCCAACAUCCUUUCGGAGAUUCCUAUCUUCCUUUGUGCAAACUGUUCCAUUUCCGUGCAAGCGCUAUUCCGAACCCAGCGAGAUCGUGUCACACGAGCAGAAAAAGCACGGAUUCACACAUCCAGAGCCCAAAAAUACUGCACCCGUCUCGUCUCCUCUCCUCUCUCGACCGGUCAAACAAGGAGCAUGCAGCUUCGUCGUAGUGUCCGUUCCAUACACCUCCUCCUCCGUUCACGCUUGA
RNAcentral lists this ribosomal RNA (309 nucleotides) under Triticum aestivum (bread wheat). Its description in RNAcentral is "partial small subunit ribosomal RNA". The record is from RNAcentral. Lineage: Eukaryota; Viridiplantae; Streptophyta; Magnoliopsida; Poales; Poaceae.